Suncus etruscus (white-toothed pygmy shrew) is the source of this 173-nucleotide long non-coding RNA. RefSeq lists it as uncharacterized. The transcript has 2 exons. NCBI's taxonomy places the organism in Eukaryota, Metazoa, Chordata, Mammalia, Eulipotyphla, Soricidae. The record is from RefSeq and is a predicted model, not a curated record.
CACAGGCCAUUUCUCAUACUGCAUGAAAAGAACCAGUUUUCACUAACUACGUUUUCAGUGUCCUACGUACCCACUUAGGUGUAUGUGCACACGUGCUUUUUAAUAAUAAAAUAUAUAUGAAAAUUCAAUGGAUGUUGGAAAAAGGGAUUACAAAUAAACUUUUGGAUACAAAA